RNAcentral lists this small nuclear RNA (196 nucleotides) under Oryctolagus cuniculus (rabbit). RNAcentral describes it as "7SK RNA". It matches the Rfam family "7SK RNA", at positions 1 to 200 of the family's 331-position model. From Rfam's summary of the family: 7SK was discovered as an abundant small nuclear RNA in the mid-70s but a possible function has only recently been suggested. Lineage: Eukaryota; Metazoa; Chordata; Mammalia; Lagomorpha; Leporidae. The record is from Rfam by way of RNAcentral.
GGAUGUGAUGGUGAUCAGGCUGACAUCUGUCAUGCCAUUGAUUGCCAGAUUGAAUCAGCUGAUCCAGCUGUCUAGGUGGGUUUCCCUUUCUUCCCUCACCCUCCAUGUGUGUCCCUUCUGAAGUUGCCUGCUCACUUGAAGAGGAAAGUUUAUAGCAAUUGAUGCCUACAUGAAGAAAUUCAAUGGCAUCAAAAAA